UAUUAUGUUGGUACAAAAGUAAUUGCGGUUUUUGCCAUUAAAACGAAUGGCAAAAACCGCAAUUACUUUUGCAUCAACCUAAUA
Molecule: microRNA precursor, 84 nt
Filed under: Pan troglodytes (chimpanzee)
Lineage: Eukaryota; Metazoa; Chordata; Mammalia; Primates; Hominidae
Description: mir-548 microRNA precursor family
Rfam family: mir-548 microRNA precursor family
Source: Rfam by way of RNAcentral